GAGGAAUAUUGGUCAAUGGACGAGAGUCUGAACCAGCCAAGUAGCGUGAAGGAUGAAGGUUCUAUGGAUUGUAAACUUCUUUUAUACGGGAAUAAACGAAUCCACGCGUGGAUUUUUGCAUAUACCGUAUGAAUAAGGAUCGGCUAACUCCGUGCCAGCAGCCGCGGUAAUACGGAGGAUCCGAGCGUUAUCCGGAUUUAUUGGGUUUAAAGAGAGCGUAGAUGGGUUGUUAAGUCAGUUGUGAAAGUUUGCGGCUCAACCGUAAAAUUGCAAUUGAUACUGGCAGUCUUGAGUACAGUUGAGGUAGGCGGAAUUCGUGGUGUAGCGGUGAAAUGCUUAGAUAUCACGAAGAACUCCGAUUGCGAAGGCAGCUUACUAACCUGUAACUGACAUUGAUGCUCGAAAGUGUGGGUAUCAAACAGGAUUAGAUACCCUGGUAGUCCACACGGUAAACGAUGAAUACUCGCUGUAGGCGAUAUACAGUCUGCGGCCAAGCGAAAGCAUUAAGUAUUCCACCUGGGGAGUACGCCGGCAACGGUGAAACUCAAAGGAAUUGACGGGGGCCCGCACAAGCGGAGGAACAUGUGGUUUAAUUCGAUGAUACGCGAGGAACCUUACCCGGGCUUAAAUUGCAACCGAAUAUGGCGGAAACGCUAUAGCUAGCAAUAGCGGUUGUGAAGGUGCUGCAUGGUUGUCGUCAGCUCGUGCCGUGAGGUGUCGGCUUAAGUGCCAUAACGAGCGCAACCCUUGCCGAUAGUUACUAACAGGUUAUGCUGAGGACUCUGUCGGGACUGCCAUCGUAAGAUGUGAGGAAGGUGGGGAUGACGUCAAAUCAGCACGGCCCUUACGUCCGGGGCUACACACGUGUUACAAUGGGGGGUACAGAGGGCUGCUACCACGCAAGUGGAUGCCAAUCCCAAAAACCUCUCUCAGUUCGGAUUGAAGUCUGCAACCCGACUUCAUGAAGCUGGAUUCGCUAGUAAUCGCGCAUCAGCCACGGCGCGGUGAAUACGUUCCCG
This 1019-nucleotide ribosomal RNA is filed under the name uncultured organism. Its description in RNAcentral is "bacterial SSU rRNA". It matches the Rfam family "Bacterial small subunit ribosomal RNA", at positions 356 to 1376 of the family's 1533-position model. The record is from RNAcentral.